AGGACGAACGCUGGCGGCGUGCUUAACACAUGCAAGUGGAGCGACGAACCAGGGCUUGCCCUGGGGCAAAGCCGCGAACGGGUGAGUAACACGUGGGUUACCUGCCCCGAUGACCGGGACAACCCGAGGAAACUCGGGCUAAUACCGGAUGUGACCGUAAGGUGAAAGGAAGCUUCGGCCUCCGCAUCGGGAUGGGCCCGCGGCCCAUUAGCUUGUUGGUGGGGUAAUGGCCUACCAAGGCAACGAUGGGUAGCUGGUCUGAGAGGAUGAUCAGCCACACUGGGACUGAGACACGGCCCAGACUCCUACGGGAGGCAGCAGUGGGGAAUCUUGCGCAAUGCGCGAAAGCGUGACGCAGCAACGCCGCGUGGGGGAAGAAGGCUUUCGGGUUGUAAACCCCGUUUCAGUUGGGACGAAGCUUCGUCGGUGAAUAGCCGACUGGAGUGACGGUACCUUCACAAGAAGCACCGGCCAACUACGUGCCAGCAGCCGC
Molecule: ribosomal RNA, 493 nt
Filed under: uncultured bacterium
Lineage: Bacteria
Description: SSU rRNA
Rfam family: Bacterial small subunit ribosomal RNA
Source: RNAcentral